UACGAAGGGGGCUAGCGUUGCUCGGAAUCACUGGGCGUAAAGCGCACGUAGGCGGCUUUUUAAGUCAGGGGUGAAAUCCUGGAGCUCAACUCCAGAACUGCCUUUGAUACUGGGAAGCUUGAGUCCGGGAGAGGUGAGUGGAACUCCGAGUGCAGAGGUGAAAUUCGUAGAUAUUCGGAAGAACACCAGUGGCGAAGGCGGCUCACUGGCCCGGUACUGACGCUGAGGUGCGAAAGCGUGGGGAGCAAACAGG
Molecule: ribosomal RNA, 253 nt
Filed under: uncultured bacterium
Lineage: Bacteria
Description: partial 16S ribosomal RNA
Rfam family: Bacterial small subunit ribosomal RNA
Source: RNAcentral